UACGUAGGUGGCAAGCGUUGUCCGGAUUUAUUGGGUUUAAAGGGCGCGUAGGCGGCUCAUGAAGGCUGUGGUGAAAGUCCGGGGCUCAACCUCGGAUCGGCCGUGGCGACUCGUGGGCUGGAGCACUGUAGAGGCGGGUGGAAUUCCGGGUGUAGCGGUGGAAUGCGUAGAGAUCCGGAAGAACACCAGUGGCGAAGGCGGCCCGCUGGGCAGUGGCUGACGCUGAGGCGCGACAGCGUGGGGAGCAAACAGG
RNAcentral lists this ribosomal RNA (253 nucleotides) under uncultured bacterium. RNAcentral's name for it is "partial 16S ribosomal RNA". It matches the Rfam family "Bacterial small subunit ribosomal RNA", at positions 524 to 776 of the family's 1533-position model. The record is from RNAcentral.